AUUGAACGCUGGCGGCAUGCCUUACACAUGCAAGUCGAACGGCAGCACGGGAGCAAUCCUGGUGGCGAGUGGCGAACGGGUGAGUAAUAUAUCGGAACGUGCCCAGUCGUGGGGAUAACGUAGCGAAAGCUACGCUAAUACCGCAUACGAUCUAUGGAUGAAAGCGGGGGAUCGCAAGACCUCGUGCGAUUGGAGCGGCCGAUAUCAGAUUAGGUAGUUGGUGAGGUAAAGGCUCACCAAGCCGACGAUCUGUAGCUGGUCUGAGAGGACGACCAGCCACACUGGGACUGAGACACGGUCCAGACUCCUACGGGAGGCAGCAGUGGGGAAUAUUGGACAAUGGGCGAAGGCCUGAUCCAGCCAUGCCGCGUGUGUGAAGAAGGUCUUCGGAUUGUAAGCACUUUAAGUUGGGUAGGAAGGGUAGUAACCGUAAUACGUUGCUACUUUGACGUUACCGACAGAUAAGCACCGGCUAACUUCGUGCC
This 485-nucleotide ribosomal RNA is filed under the name uncultured bacterium. Its description in RNAcentral is "bacterial SSU rRNA". It matches the Rfam family "Bacterial small subunit ribosomal RNA", at positions 30 to 509 of the family's 1533-position model. The record is from RNAcentral.